GAAUUGAUGGAAAUGGAGUAUUUACCUUUAGUCAUACAAGGUAUACAGCAAUCGUCAUCAUAGACGUCAUAAACGAAAAUUUGCGUGAAACGGUGAAGGAGAACUGGUCGGAGCUGCCACCUUUUUUGUAUAUUUUGACUUGUAUUGUGCAACUCAACCCGUUUUCUCUGAACUUCAACGUACAAAACCCGUCGGAAUUGCUUCACUCUCGACAAGCGUAGACUACCAAAGCGACUUUAGAUAAGUUUCUUUAACAAAAAAUUUUCGCGAUAAGCGAACGUAGUUUGACAUAUUAUUGAGCGCAAUAAAAUUUACUUUAAAAUUAAAAA
Molecule: long non-coding RNA, 329 nt
Organism: Xenia sp. Carnegie-2017
Lineage: Eukaryota; Metazoa; Cnidaria; Anthozoa; Malacalcyonacea; Xeniidae
Exons: 2
Source: RefSeq, a predicted model, not a curated record